This 497-nucleotide ribosomal RNA is filed under the name uncultured bacterium. RNAcentral's name for it is "partial 16S ribosomal RNA". It matches the Rfam family "Bacterial small subunit ribosomal RNA", at positions 28 to 507 of the family's 1533-position model. The record is from RNAcentral.
GAUGAACGCUGGCGGCGUGCCUAAUACAUGCAAGUCGAGCGAACAGACGAGAAGCUUGCUCCUCUGAUGUUAGCGGCGGACGGGUGAGUAACACGUGGAUAACCUACCUAUAAGACUGGGAUAACUUCGGGAAACCGGAGCUAAUACCGGAUAAUAUAUUGAACCGCAUGGUUCAAUAGUGAAAGACGGUCUUGCUGUCACUUAUAGAUGGAUCCGCGCUGCAUUAGCUAGUUGGUAAGGUAACGGCUUACCAAGGCAACGAUGCGUAGCCGACCUGAGAGGGUGAUCGGCCACACUGGAACUGAGACACGGUCCAGACUCCUACGGGAGGCAGCAGUAGGGAAUCUUCCGCAAUGGGCGAAAGCCUGACGGAGCAACGCCGCGUGAGUGAUGAAGGUCUUCGGAUCGUAAAACUCUGUUAUUAGGGAAGAACAUAUGUGUAAGUAACUGUGCACGUCUUGACGGUACCUAAUCAGAAAGCCACGGCUAACUACGUG